UACGUAGGCAGCAAGCGUUGUUCGGAAUUACUGGGCGUAAAGGGUUCGUAGGUGGCUUGUUAAGUCAGACGUGAAAUCCCUCAGCUUAACUGGGGAACUGCGUCUGAGACUGAUGAGCUCGAGUGCAGGAGAGGAACGCGGAAUUCCAGGUGUAGCGGUGAAAUGCGUAGAUAUCUGGAGGAACACCGGUGGCGAAGGCGGCGUUCUGGACUGCAACUGACACUGAGGAACGAAAGCCAGGGGAGCAAACGGG
RNAcentral lists this ribosomal RNA (253 nucleotides) under uncultured bacterium. Its description in RNAcentral is "partial 16S ribosomal RNA". It matches the Rfam family "Bacterial small subunit ribosomal RNA", at positions 524 to 776 of the family's 1533-position model. The record is from RNAcentral.